CCUACGGGAGGCAGCAGUGAGGAAUAUUGGUCAAUGGCCGGAAGGCUGAACCAGCCAUGCCGCGUGAAGGUCAGUGCCCUAUGGGCGUUAAACCUCUUUUGUGCGGGAGCAAUAAUGGUCAAGUGUGGCCAGACGAGAGUACCGUACGAAUAAGCAUCGGCUAACUCCGUGCCAGCAGCCGCGGUAAUACGGGGGAUGCAAGCGUUAUUCGGAUUUAUUGGGGUUAAAUGGUGCGUAGGCUGUGAGGUAAGUCAGCGGUGGAAUGCCCUCGCUCAACGGGGUGAAGUGCGAUUGAUACUGGCUGGCUGGAAUGCGGAUGCCGUGGGAGGAAUGUGUGGUGUAGCGGUGAAAUGCAUAGAUAUCA
This 364-nucleotide ribosomal RNA is filed under the name uncultured bacterium. Its description in RNAcentral is "partial 16S ribosomal RNA". It matches the Rfam family "Bacterial small subunit ribosomal RNA", at positions 338 to 699 of the family's 1533-position model. The record is from RNAcentral.